AGCUUUUUGUAAUAAGAGCAUUUUGUCUAAUCCCAAAUUGCAGUUGAAUUUUCUUAAUGCUGAGCUGGUAAAGCCUGGGAUUAGAGGAGAGGAGAGGAGGGGAGGAGGGGGGAGAAAAGUUUGCUCCCUUCAGCCGGGAGGAUUGGAAGAAGCGCGGAUCUGCAGGGAUGUUGUCGGUAUUAAAACGGUGAGGCAUAAACCUGAGAGCGGUUUGUUGCAGGGAGAGCCGGAGCGGAGCUACGGAGGCCGAGCAGCACCUGCGAGGAAGGAAAGGAGGGAAGGAAGGAAGGAAAGGAAGCCAGGCUCCUAAAGACCAGGCGCUUUUUACACAGCGCGGAAAAGGAGAAUGGAUCCAGAUGUUUUUCACUCUUUCUGUAGCACCUGGAUUAUUCAUAAGAUCCCUAUAAUCAAUGAGUUAAUCUGCAGAGCGUCCGCUCCAGGUGCUCGUCCUCCGCCUCGGCCCUGCCAACCACAAACAUCAAAACAUCACAAGUCUGGAAGGGGCUUUAUGGGACAUGGAGAGAGAGGGAAGGUGGGGGGACACAGGUAACGCUGUUGUUGCCACGGCAGCCUCGUGCCAGGGGCCACGCUCUGACCUUUCACCCCUGCUGGCACCGUGGAUCUGGAGGAGAUCCCUGAUGCUCCUCCUGCAGGCCGGCUCUGGGACGUCUGUGAAAAAAAGCCGCUCUCUGUGGGACAUUUCUGUCUGUGACUCACUCUUUUUCCUGGGCGUCCAGAUCCCUGACCAGCGCGUCCCGUUUGUUGACCAGUAUGACCAGUUCAUCCAGCAGCAGCUGCUCUCGUCUCUUCUGGGCUUCAGUUUUCUGCCAGUCUGCAAACAAGAACAAAAAAACAGAGGAACCUUGAGACUCUGACACCAGGAUAUUUGGAAAACUCUAAAAACUCUAUAAAUCAGCAUCUUUAGUGUGACUUUAGGGCCAUUUUCUAGCAGAACGGGUGUGUGUGCCGACAAUUACAUGCAUGGAUCGCCCGUUCCCACAGGACCAUGCUGCCACUGAAAACCUUUGAUGUUAUCACGCCACUUUAUGAUUAAACAUCCGUUAAAAUAAAUGUUCUAUGGAGAAA
Long non-coding RNA from Cyprinodon tularosa, 1086 nucleotides. RefSeq lists it as uncharacterized. The record is from RefSeq and is a predicted model, not a curated record. NCBI's taxonomy places the organism in Eukaryota, Metazoa, Chordata, Actinopteri, Cyprinodontiformes, Cyprinodontidae. The transcript has 2 exons.